GUGGGGAAUCUUGCGCAAUGGGCGAAAGCCUGACGCAGCCAUGCCGCGUGAAUGAUGAAGGUCUUAGGAUUGUAAAAUUCUUUCACCGGGGACGAUAAUGACGGUACCCGGAGAAGAAGCCCCGGCUAACUUCGUGCCAGCAGCCGCGGUAAUACGAAGGGGGCUAGCGUUGCUCGGACUUACUGGGCGUAAAGGGCGCGUAGGCGGACAGUUAAGUUGGGGGUGAAAGCCCGGGGCUCAACCUCGGAACUGCCUUCAAGACUGGCUGGCUUGAGUAUGAGAGAGGUGUGUGGAACUCCGAGUGUAGAGGUGAAAUUCGUAGAUAUGCGGAAGAACACCAGUGGCGAAGGCGACACACUGGCUCAUUACUGACGCUGAGGCGCGAAAGCGUGGGGAGCGAACAGGAUUAGAAACCCGUGUAGUCC
RNAcentral lists this ribosomal RNA (425 nucleotides) under uncultured bacterium. RNAcentral's name for it is "partial 16S ribosomal RNA". It matches the Rfam family "Bacterial small subunit ribosomal RNA", at positions 354 to 796 of the family's 1533-position model. The record is from RNAcentral.